This 7600-nucleotide long non-coding RNA is filed under the name Nicotiana tabacum (common tobacco). RNAcentral's name for it is "long non-coding RNA (NTAB_LNC013194)". The record is from RNAcentral. Lineage: Eukaryota; Viridiplantae; Streptophyta; Magnoliopsida; Solanales; Solanaceae.
GACUCAACUUCGUAUCCAAACUCCUUCUAACCCUCCUAAACAGAUACCAUAAGGGUUUGAAGUGAUUCCAAGGUGAUUAUACCAUAAUUCAACAUCAAAAGUUAGUCUUAGUGAAGGACAACAUCUCUUUGAGGUUGUGAUGUCAUUCAGGAUAAUUGUGGGUUGUGUUUGGAUGAAACUUCAAGUGGUUGUUGCUGGUUUAGGUAUGUAUAAUACUCUACUAUAUGUUCUUGAAGUUUUUUGUAUGUUGGUUUUAUUAUUUGAGCAAGAUACUACAAAAAAUGACUUGAAAUAGCUUGAGAUGUUAUUGUUAUUAUUAUUAUUAUUAUUAUUAACUUUCACCAAUAACUUUUUUUUUCUCUUUCUCUCGUUAUAUUCUUAGAUAUAUUAGUUAUUUCUUCUAAUUAUUGAGUAUAUUUUUUAAAUUAUUAUACAAAUCUAUGAUAACUAAUAAUAUAUUUAUUUGAAUAAAAAGUAAUACAAAUAUAUAUAUAACAUACACACACUUCACAUCGAAGAUAAUAUUAAAUGAAUUAUAGUUAUAUUCCAUGAUAAUUUUAAACAAUCCUAGAAAAUAUUAUUUGAAAAGAUCUUUAAAACCUAAAACUAAUGAUAGCAUAAAUUAGGAUAGUAUUACUUAUCGCUUCAAUGUAACUCAAUUACAUAGAAAAAUCUCUAAACAAUUAUGUCAUAUUUUGUUAACGUAAUAUAUUUCUUGGAUUUAUGUAUUAGAACUUACAUAUUAAGACUUCUCACCUAGUACCUAGUUUAAAAAAGAAAGAUUUAAUAAUCAAAAUUUUAGUUGAUUUCAAAGUCCUAAUAUUUAGAAUCUAACUAUUUGAAAAAUGAAUAUUUGAAAAAAGAAAAAAUUUAAUACACAAAAUAUAGUUGGUUUAAAACUCCUAAAUAUUAGAAAAAAGCAUAAAUGACUAUUUUGUCUUAUUACACCCCAUUUUUUCACACGUGAGAGUAAAUCGUAAGCCAAUUGAUAUAAGCUCAUAAAUGAGAUUGUCACUAAAAGUAUAUAAAGUAAGUUAAUCAUGUUAUCUUGGAGGUUACAAAUCUUUAAGAUCAUGGAUAAUAAGUACCAAGAUGAUUGAAAGUCUUAGAAGCUAAACAAAUUGAAGAAAAUAAGUUUCGUGAAAUGUCGACAAGUUGGGAAUGUUAUAACAUGUACUUUUAGGGUGAUAUUAGGGUGCUAAAAUGAUAAGGAGGUUAUGUUAUGAGUUAUUUUAGUCGUAUGAUAGUCGUGUAUUACAUUUUAAAGUCAAGCGAGUUUUGGAACAAAAGUUGGCAAAGGUCAUUACAAGUUACAUUCAUAAAUGUGCUGGAAAUUAGGUCAAAUAUAGCUGAGCUUUUCUCCCAAUAUACUUGGAAUUACUGGAUGAUCCAUCUAUCAAAUUGUAGAUCUACGAGUUUAGUUUCUAACGCAUGAAACCGUUCAAUGAUAGGAUAUCGGAGUAGAGAGAUAUUAGCGUUAUCGUGAGACCGCACAAGCAGCUCCAAAUGGGACCCACUUAGGCGGUAGUCGACGUACUUCACUUUAUAAAGGAUUUGGAUGCCAUUUUUUUCUUAUUUUCGACUCAACUUCGUAUCCAAACUCCUCAUAAACCUCCUAAAUAGAUACCAUAAGGGUUUGAAGUGAUUCCAAGGUGAUUACACCAUAUUUCAACAUCAAAAGUUAGUCUUAGUGAAGGACAACAUCUAUUUGAGUUUGUGAUGUCAUUCAGGAUAAUUGUGGGUUGUGUUUGGCUGAAACUUCAAGUGGUUGUUGCUGGUUUAGGUAUGUAUAAUACUCUACUACAUGUUCUUGAAGUUUUUUGUAUGCUGGUUUUAUUAUUUGAGCAAGAUACUACAAAAAAAGACUUGAAAUAGCUUGAGAUGUUAUUGUUCUUAAUGGACUGUUUUGGGAAGGUUGUUGUCACGACCCAAUUUUACCUACAGGUCAUGGUGGUGCCUGUCACAACCCUUUUUUAACACCUCACUUAACCCUCUUAAAAGUAAUAAAAAGAUUUUAUGAAGCUCAAAAAGGUUUUCAAUUUUGAAAGCGACAAAGGAUUGUGUUUCGAAGGAUUUUCAGAGUCGCCACCUGACAUUUGGUUUCGGUAUGCCAGGUCACCAUUUUUUUUAAAAUAACAAUUUCCCUUCAAAACAAAUUUGACUCUUAAACCAAUUUUCACCAGAGAUUCAAGGUAAGGGGGUUAAUUUGACUUGGGGAGAAGGUGUUAGGCAUUCCCCGAGUCCCGUAACUAGUACGGUUGCGUAUACAAUCAAGUUGGCUUUUAAAAUAUUCAAAUUGAAGUAAAAAAACACGAAAAAGGGAAAAUAAAUACACAAGAGGCUCGAGGUUGUCUCCACCUAAAUAAAGAAAAUAAAAUAAAAGGAAAAUACUAAAAGUCUAUGCUUGUUCCAUGAUGUUCGUUGCGGUAUCCAAUUACAUUCACUACGGGGCAUACCCCGGAUAAUAAUAAUAAUAAUAUAUACAAACUCACGGGGUAUUCCCCUGAAUAUAAACUAAAGGGAACAACCUCUUACCUCGGCAAAAUUAAAAGAAGCAACCUACGGUUUGCCUACCUGAGUGUGAUCGGCCUAAACAUGCUACUAGCGAACCCCAAAUGAAUUAAAGGUAAAACAAUCAGAUUGCCUCAAGCCUAAACCCGCAUAUACAAUAUCAAUUUAAUGAAUUGACCCAAACCCAUUUUUGAUCAAUCCCCCCGAUUCAAAAUAAUUCACUGUUUGCCCUUUCUAUUCAACUUGAUUCUUUCAUAUCUUCAUUUUUAUUGAACAUAUCUUAUAAGACAAAAUUCAAAGAAAACAAAUUAAACAAAAUAACAAUGAAGCUAACCAAGGUUAAACAAAUCAUAAGUAAAUUCAAAUUUGUUGAAACAAAGAAGUAUAUCCAUUGAUUAAUAAGAGGGUUGAAAACAGAUUGACCUGAAAAAUAAUCUUGCAAUUAAUAUAAUUUUGGCAAUUCACAGAUAGAAUACUGCAGCUAUGAAUGGAGUUCAAAACAACAAAUCCAACUCGAAAGAAGCCAACGGACCGCACCUCGGAUGGCAACUCCAACAAUCGAACACCCGUUUCAACUCAACUCCAUUUCGGAAACCGACACUAAAAGAACAGCCUAAAUUUUUAUUAUGUAUUUCGCGUUUGAAAUAAAAAAUAAAGCUAAACUCAACUGAAAAUCAGAAAAUGAAAAGUUAGAAUCAAAAGCCAAAACCCCUGUUUUUCUUUAAUUCUUUUUUUCGCCCAGAUUUUUUUUCCUGUUCUUGUGACUUUUCCCCGUUUCCCCUUAUGUUUGUCCGUUCCCUGCCUCUGUUUUUUGCUAUUGUACAUGUGUGUGUGGUCGCCGAAUUCCGGCCAGUUAUGGUAGUGAGGGAGUAGUGGGGUGGCUGGUGAGAGGUUGUGCGGCGGGUGGCAGCUGGGGUCUAGGUUAAUGGAGGUUAAGAUUUGUGGAAGGGUGGUAUGUUAGGUGACAGGAGAAGUUAGAGAAGAGGGGUGACGUUGGUGGUCAGAUGGGGGCGGUCGGCGGCUGUCUUCAUGGUGAAGCGGAAUUAGGUUUGGUGGUAGAUGGGGGUGGUCGGCGGCUAGAAUGGGGUGUGUUAGAUUGCUGAUGAAGCUUAGGGUUUCUAGGUUAGAGAAGAAGAUGAGGUCUUAACUUUUGGAUAUUAGGUUAUUUGUGGGUUUUAUGGAUAUUGGGCUUGGAUUUAGGUACUAUAUGUUAUUUGGGCUAAGGGGAAUUGGGUUGGUCUAAAAUUGCUUAAGAAAAUUCGAAAAUGAGACUAGUUUUGGGGUUGUUCAAACUCUUUUAGCUAAAAUCCCAAAUCUUAUUCUAAAAAGUAUAACGCAUUUAUAAAACAAAGAAAUCACUCUUAAUUAAUUAAUAUAUACUACUAAAAUAAAAAUAGAUAUUAAAAGUGAAACUAUUUUUGUAUUUUUUUAAAAAUUUUAUGAGAGGUAGAUAAACUAAGAGUAACUAGAUAAAAUAUCAAUUAGUUAAAUAAAAGCAAAUAUUUUUGUAAUUUUUAUGAUAAAAUAAAGUAAAAGAGUCAAAACUAGUUAAAAUUAGUGAUAUUAGACCUAAACUAAAUAUUUAAACGCUAAAAUGUGUAAAAUCUCGGGGAGGGUCAAAAAUAACAUGUCUACAGCUGCCCCUCUUUGACUGGAAAUACGAAGAGUUUUCAGACAGAGAACGACGAAACAGAUUUUUUUAGCAGACCCUUAUUUUGAGAGACUAAAAACUAAAAGAAAAUAGACUGUGACCGAGCCCUGGUAUCUGAGCUGCCUACAUAUCCUUGGCCAUAAAGAAAUCAAGACACGUGCAAUUCUGUAACGACCCGACCGGUUGUUUUGAGCUUUUACAUUUCCCUCGCUAGUUCUCGGGCAUGACUAGCCCUCUGUAUUGUAUUAUGACUUAUGUAAAUCGUCAGUUUUGGUUUUCAGGAUAAUCGGAAUAGAUUUGGAAGAAUAAUUCUCAGUUUAAAGCUUUAAAUUUGAAAGGUUUGACCAAGUUUUGACAUUUUAGUAUUCGAUCUCGGAUUUGGAUUUUUAUGAUUUAAUUAGCUCCGUUAGGUGAUUUUGGACUUGGGAGCGCAUCCGGAAUGUAUUUUGGAGGUCCGUGGUAGAUUUAGGCUUGAAUUAGCGAAAUUGAAAAUUUGGCAUUUUCCGGCCGGCAUUGGAAAUUUUGUUAUCGGGGUCGGAAUGGAAUUCCGGAAAUUGGAGUAGGUCCAUUGUGUCAUUUUUGACGUGUGUACAAAAUUUUAGGUCAUUCGGACGAGGUCUGAUAGACUUUUUGAUCGACUUUAGAAUUUAGAAGUUUUGAAAUUCUUAGGCUUGAAUCUGAGUGUGAUUCGAUGUUUUGAUGUUGUUUUAAGCGUUCCAAAGAUUGGAACAAGUUUGAAUGAUGUUAUGGGAUGUGUUGGCAUGUUUGGUUGAGGUCCCGAGGGUCUCGGGUGAGUUUCGGGGUGGUUUCAGACCAUUUCUAGGCCAUUUCUAGUUGUUGGUUUUUGGCUUCAGGGGUGUACAGUGCGUUAGCAUAGAGAAAAUUUGGAAAAAUGGAGUUGUGCUAUGUGAUCGCAUAAGUCUUCCCACGAUCGCAUAGAGUAAAAUCUUUGCUACACUGACCCGAUUUUGGAAGCUUAUAUCUCACAAUAUAUAAGGAAUUUGAAGAUGAUCUGAAAACAAAAAUUGUAGCCCUUGAUGUCUAGUUUUCAAAAUGUUUAACCAAUUAUAAUUUGGAGUUUUGUACAAAAAGUUAUAACCAUUAUACCAGAGGCUGUCCGGAAGAGUUGGAGAAGGCUGUUGGAAAAAUUUGUUCUACGCGAUCGCGAGGGAAUGGCCGCGAUCGCAUAGGGUAAAAGAAGGGAAAUUUUAUGCUUCGCUAUCAUAUUAGUUUAUCCGCGAUAGCAUAGGGUAAAUGCCUGGGCGGAUUAUAAAGUACUCUAUUUCGAGAAUUUCGAUCAUUUUUGCAUUUUUGGAGAUAUGAAGCUCGGAUUGAGGCAAUUUUUGAAAGGAUUUUCAGAGGAUUGAUUGGGGUAAGUAUUCUUCACUCAAAUUUGGUUAAAUCUCAUGAUUAUAUCUUGAUUCUUAUCAUUUAAUUUGGGAAUUUGGGGUAAAAAUGGGGGAAAAUGGAGGAAGGUUUGGAGAGUUGAUUUUGGGGAUUUGGAUCGCCAUUUGAUGUCGGAUUUUGGUAAAUUUGAUAUGGGUAGACUCGCGAGCGAAUGGGUUUUCCAGUUUUGUGAUUUUUAUCAGAUUCCAAGAUGUGGUCCCGGGGUCAGGUUUGAGCCAAUUUCGGGAUUUUUGAGUUAAUUUGAUUAUUUUCGCUUGGGCUUUGUUCUUUUAGUGUAUAUUGAUGAUAAUAUACAGAUUUUGGUUAGAUUUGGAGCAUUUGGAGGCCGAUUCGAGAGGCAAAGGCAUCGCGGGCUAGAGUUUGGACCGAUUUGAGGUAAGUAAUGAUUGUAAAUGUUGUCCUGAGGGUAUGAAACCCCGAAUUUCACAUCGUUGUGCUACUUUAGGGUGACACACACGCUAGGUGACGAGCGUGGGGUUGUGAACCAUUGGGGUUUGUGACUUGGUCCGUCCCUUAUGACUGUUAAGUCGCGUAUUUGAUUGAAAACUAUUUGAUAUUAUUGUGUUUUGAAAAUUAUUAUCAUGUUUUGGGCUAAAUGCCAUAUUUGGCCUCGUGCCAACUGUUUUGGACCCUUAGGGGAUUUUUACUAUUCCUCACUAUUUUGACUUCAUAUUUGUACUUAGUCAUGCUGUAUUCUACUAUUUUUCAUAACUCAACUAUAUUUACUCAUUUUUGAUAUUUUAAAUAAUAUUUUGGGCUGAACUUCAUGUUUUACUAUUGCCCGAGUGGCUUGAGAGAUUUUGGACUAAGUGAGGUCGAGGGCCUGUGUCGUGAGGAUAUUAUGGGAUCGGGCUGCGCGCUGCAGCAGUGUGGUACUGAUUUAUGAUUAUGAGGCCGAGGGCCUGAUUUGUUACGCCACGAGGUGGCUUGAUAUGAGGCCGAGAGCCUAUCUGAUUAUGCCACGAGAUGGCUUGUUAUUGCAUUUGGGCCGUAAGCCCCCCCCCCCCCCCCCCGGGAGUCUAUACACCCCCAAUGAGCGUGGGUACCUAGUGUGAGUGAUAUGAUGUAGCUCGAGGGGCUGUUUUUGUUUCAUAUUGUAGCCCUAGGGGCUAUUCUUGAUCCAUGUUUUGACCGAGGGGCGGUUCUUGAUUCAUGUUAUGCCCGAGGGGCUGAUACGAGUGAUUGUAAGGUAGCCCGAGGGGCUAGUUCUAUUGAUAUUAUGCCCGAUGGGCUGUUUACAUUUCUAUCAUUGUUUUAUCACCCGUUUGAAACUAUUGAAGGUUGUUUUAAAGGGUUUUACUGAAACUGAGCUUGAUUUACGAAGUAAAUGAUUUUUGUACUGUUUUGGAAAGGUACUGCAUUUGUUGUAGCGUUAUGACAUGGCUUAUGUAUUUUCUUACUGCUCAGCUUUCAUUUACUUUUAUUACUUAUUGAGUUGGCAUACUCACAUUACUUCAUGCACCUUGUGUGCAGAUUUAGGUAUUUCUGAACCCGGUAGCGGGUGUUGAUUACUCAGUGGCAGAGUCAUUGGAGUUAGAAGGGAAGCUGCCCGACGUUCGCAGCCCUACUCUUCUCCCUCUUGUAUUCCUUAAAUUGUUUUAGUAUAUUUUCAGACCUUAGUAGAUGCUCGUGACUUGUUAUACCCCGAUGUCAGGCUUGUGUAUUUAUUCCGCACUAUCCAUUUAGACUUACACUAUGAGAUAUAUGAUUAAUUAAAGGCUUAAAAAUAAUUGUUAUUGAUUAAAUAGUUAAUUCUAGAGUUGUGUCGGCUGGCUUAGUUUCACGAUAUGUGCCAUCACGAUCGGAUCGGUUUUAGGGUCGUGACAAGUUGGUAUUAGAGCCAGGUUACAUAGGUCUCACGAGUCAUGAGCAGGUUUAGUAGAGUCUCCAGAUCGGUACGGAGACAUCUGCACUUAUCCUCGGGAGGCUACAAAACCUUUAGGAAAAACUUCACAUUCUUGAAUUCUUAUCGUUUUGAAUUCCUUCCACGCAUUCGUAUGCACACAUGAGCCCUCGGUAUCAGCAGUGCAU